Molecule: ribosomal RNA, 55 nt
Filed under: Trichophyton tonsurans
Lineage: Eukaryota; Fungi; Ascomycota; Eurotiomycetes; Onygenales; Arthrodermataceae
Description: partial 18S ribosomal RNA
Source: RNAcentral
UAUCUGGGUUGAUUCUGCCAGUAGUCAUAUCCUGUCUCAAAAGAUUAAGCCAUGC